GUACAGGAAGCGAGAAAUUUGCAUGCGGUUUCGGCCCGUAGAUUGGGGGUGAAAGUCCCUUUCUGUAUU
Molecule: transfer RNA, 69 nt
Filed under: Tibia fusus
Lineage: Eukaryota; Metazoa; Mollusca; Gastropoda; Littorinimorpha; Rostellariidae
Description: tRNA-Arg
Source: RNAcentral